Molecule: ribosomal RNA, 906 nt
Filed under: Bacillus subtilis
Lineage: Bacteria; Bacillati; Bacillota; Bacilli; Caryophanales; Bacillaceae
Description: bacterial SSU rRNA
Rfam family: Bacterial small subunit ribosomal RNA
Source: RNAcentral
CCGUUCGAAUAGGGCGGUACCUUGACGGUACCUAACCAGAAAGCCACGGCUAAUACGUGCCAGCAGCCGCGGUAAUACGUAGGUGGCAAGCGUUGUCCGGAAUUAUUGGGCGUAAAGGGCUCGCAGGCGGUUUCUUAAGUCUGAUGUGAAAGCCCCCGGCUCAACCGGGGAGGGUCAUUGGAAACUGGGGAACUUGAGUGCAGAAGAGGAGAGUGGAAUUCCACGUGUAGCGGUGAAAUGCGUAGAGAUGUGGAGGAACACCAGUGGCGAAGGCGACUCUCUGGUCUGUAACUGACGCUGAGGAGCGAAAGCGUGGGGAGCGAACAGGAUUAGAUACCCUGGUAGUCCACGCCGUAAACGAUGAGUGCUAAGUGUUAGGGGGUUUCCGCCCCUUAGUGCUGCAGCUAACGCAUUAAGCACUCCGCCUGGGGAGUACGGUCGCAAGACUGAAACUCAAAGGAAUUGACGGGGGCCCGCACAAGCGGUGGAGCAGUGGUUUAAUUCGAAGCAACGCGAAGAACCUUACCAGGUCUUGACAUCCUCUGACAAUCCUAGAGAUAGGACGUCCCCUUCGGGGGCAGAGUGACAGGUGGUGCAUGGUUGUCGUCAGCUCGUGUCGUGAGAUGUUGGGUUAAGUCCCGCAACGAGCGCAACCCUUGAUCUUAGUUGCCAGCAUUCAGUUGGGCACUCUAAGGUGACUGCCGGUGACAAACCGGAGGAAGGUGGGGAUGACGUCAAAUCAUCAUGCCCCUUAUGACCUGGGCUACACACGUGCUACAAUGGACAGAACAAAGGGCAGCGAAACCGCGAGGUUAAGCCAAUCCCACAAAUCUGUUCUCAGUUCGGAUCGCAGUCUGCAACUCGACUGCGUGAAGCUGGAAUCGCUAGUAAUCGCGGAUCAGCAUG